GUCUAAGUACAUGCCGUAUUAAGGCGAAACCGCAGAUGGCUCAUUAAAUCAGUUAUGGUUCCUUGGAUCGUACCUUAUUACUUGGAUAAUUGUGGCAAUUCUAGAGUAAAUACAUGCAGCAGAGCUAUGACCCUCUGGGGACGAGCGCUUUUAUUAGAUCAAAACCAAUCGGACCACAUUAUGUGGUGACUUUGUAUAACUUUGGGCUGAUCGCACGGGCUCGUCCCGGCGACGUAUCUUUCAAGUGUCUGCCUUAUCAACUGUCGAUGGUAGUUACGCGCCUACCAUGGUCGUAAAGGAUGACGGGGAAUCAGGGUUCGAUCUCUCAU
Molecule: non-coding RNA, 329 nt
Filed under: Stegodyphus mimosarum
Lineage: Eukaryota; Metazoa; Arthropoda; Arachnida; Araneae; Eresidae
Description: eukaryotic small subunit ribosomal RNA
Rfam family: Eukaryotic small subunit ribosomal RNA
Source: Rfam by way of RNAcentral